UCAAACAGACUCGAUUAAAUCACACGGCAAAACACGUAAUUAAAUAAACAACCCUAGGCAAUAAUAAAAUCAACACGACAUCACGAAAACACUGACAAACACAAUCACAAAUAAUCGGACAAUACGAAAACUCUAAUAUAUUCGAAAUACAGUCAAAAUACCGACAAACAAACAAUUAAAUAGAUAAAAACGCACAAAACCUAAUCGAAGCGAUGCCACGCACAAAAGAGAUAAGCGAGAUAAAUACGAGGCAAC
Molecule: long non-coding RNA, 255 nt
Filed under: Lathyrus oleraceus (garden pea)
Lineage: Eukaryota; Viridiplantae; Streptophyta; Magnoliopsida; Fabales; Fabaceae
Description: Pisum sativum (pea) long non-coding RNA (PSAT_LNC029128)
Source: RNAcentral